GUUCUGGGAGCUAGUGAGGUGGAAAGCCAGGAAUCUAAACAUUCACGAUAUAAACUUGUAAUCAACCUCUGUUUUCCAGAUGAAGUCCUCGUUGUCAACUGAUGUCUCCCAGGCCAGAUCUCACUUGUUUGACUCACUCCGGAGAAUGCACCUGCAGUAGUCAAUCGUCUUCACAGGAUAGACCACUUGGGCCAUUUCUGUGUGGAACCCUAAAACCACAAUAAGGUGAAGAAGUUAAGUCAAGUCUAACGGAUGAUGAGAAGUUGGCUGGAAGAAAACCAAGGAAGCUCAGCUUAGAGAUCUGUGACCAACGCCAUCUUGGAACUCCCAGCCUUAGCCUAACCAUGAACGACUGUAGUCACAUGAGGGAUCCCAGGAACGGUCAGCAGAAGAACUCUCCCUGUUGUUAAA
RNAcentral lists this long non-coding RNA (411 nucleotides) under Mustela putorius furo (domestic ferret). RNAcentral's name for it is "lncRNA (ENSMPUG00000026520.1)". Lineage: Eukaryota; Metazoa; Chordata; Mammalia; Carnivora; Mustelidae. The record is from RNAcentral.